This 860-nucleotide ribosomal RNA is filed under the name uncultured Bacteroidota bacterium. RNAcentral's name for it is "bacterial SSU rRNA". It matches the Rfam family "Bacterial small subunit ribosomal RNA", at positions 31 to 902 of the family's 1533-position model. The record is from RNAcentral. Lineage: Bacteria; Pseudomonadati; Bacteroidota.
GAACGCUGGCGGCGUGCCUAACACAUGCAAGUCGAACGGACUUACAUUGAAGCCUAGCGAUAUGUAAGUUAGUGGCGGACGGGUGAGUAACGCGUGGGUAACCUGCCUUGUACUGGGGGACAACAGUUGGAAACGACUGCUAAUACCGCAUAAGCGCACAGCUUCGCAUGAAGCAGUGUGAAAAACUCCGGUGGUACAAGAUGGACCCGCGUCUGAUUAGCUGGUUGGUGAGGUAACGGCCCACCAAGGCGACGAUCAGUAGCCGGCCUGAGAGGGUGAACGGCCACAUUGGGACUGAGACACGGCCCAAACUCCUACGGGAGGCAGCAGUGGGGAAUAUUGCACAAUGGGGGAAACCCUGAUGCAGCAACGCCGCGUGAGUGAAGAAGUACUUCGGUAUGUAAAGCUCUAUCAGCAGGAAAGAAAAUGACGGUACCUGACUAAGAAGCCCCGGCUAACUACGUGCCAGCAGCCGCGGUAAUACGUAGGGGGCAAGCGUUAUCCGGAUUUACUGGGUGUAAAGGGAGCGUAGACGGUUUUGCAAGUCUGAAGUGAAAGCCCGGGGCUUAACCCCGGGACUGCUUUGGAAACUGUAGAACUAGAGUGCAGGAGAGGUAAGUGGAAUUCCUAGUGUAGCGGUGAAAUGCGUAGAUAUUAGGAGGAACACCAGUGGCGAAGGCGGCUUACUGGACUGUAACUGACGUUGAGGCUCGAAAGCGUGGGGAGCAAACAGGAUUAGAUACCCUGGUAGUCCACGCCGUAAACGAUGAUUACUAGGUGUUGGUGGGUACGACCCAUCGGUGCCGCAGCAAACGCAAUAAGUAAUCCACCUGGGGAGUACGUUCGCAAGAAUGCAACUA